AGGACUUGUAUAUCCCAAUUUAACCGUUUAACAUACAAUGAUAAAGAAUUAUGAUACCUAUGUCAGAAAACUACCAUGAACAAAAUCCCCUAAAUACAUAACCACAAUUAUCAGUCGCACCUUGUUCGGCUAUUUCGAGACAAAUCAUUUAUGAAUAUGCAAAUUCUAAUCAAACGACGAGGGAUAUAAUCUAAAUGUACCCGAUUUAACACCUCUGAGAAAAGAGGUGGCUCACUUACAUAUGUAUAAGCCUAUGCCACCGAAUUUGAUUUUCAUAUCUAAUAAUUUGUGACCAAAAGUUUAGCCUUUGAAUGCAAUUUGGACAAAUUCGAUAGUUAAACAAUGUUAACAAAUUGAAAGAAUCC
RNAcentral lists this long non-coding RNA (365 nucleotides) under Mytilus galloprovincialis (Mediterranean mussel). The record is from RNAcentral. Lineage: Eukaryota; Metazoa; Mollusca; Bivalvia; Mytilida; Mytilidae.